AUCGUCACUUAGCGGGUCGGGUCGAAACCCGAAAGGAAUCGGGUCGGGUCAUCUACUCGACGGCUUCCUUCCGCCGGGCCAAGAGAGGGGCUCUCCCAGGGCUCAGAGAAUCCGACGGUCUUGCGCAGGGCGGACUCGGCGGCGUCGCGCUUCGACCUCGCUUUCGUCUCUUCCAAUCCGCGCAGUUGGUCCACAUGAAGGCAUAGCUUCGGCCCGAGCACGAUCGACUCGCCUCCGUGGCGAAUCCGAAGCCUCUCUUCCCGCCCGGUUUGGUGUCCAUGGAUAUUUCUUUUGUUAACCAGUCAUAUCGUAUGAUAGCGACUUAAGAGUAGAAUUGUUUUUGCUUAAAAGGAUUUGAUAAAGUGAUAGAGAAAGGAGAAGCAAAGGUUAAUAUCUAGGAUAAUAUCCGAAAUCAAUUUGAUCCCAAGGUAUCUCAUGUGAGGUAGUAUUCUGCAUCACACUAAAUGUGUUUCAUACAUCGUUCUAAAAAGUAUUAUUAUGGAUGUAGCAUAAUGCUACUCACACAUAUUGUGGAUAAAAGAAAUUUUAUUUAUUUAACCAUGUUUGUUAUUAUAAACCUUUCCUGUUUUAUAGACCCCAAUUACAAGAAAAAUAGAAAGAAGAAAAACUAACAGGAUAAGAUAAAAUACAACUAAGAAAAUUAUAUCCCCUGGAUCAAGAGUAAUCAAUCUUCCUUUUAUCUUCGGUAAAGAUACUUUUCUAAAUUUGUGUGUUAAAUAAUUUUUUACUUUUAGAAUUAUAUGAUUGAUUUUGACUUUCUUGUUGAUAUAAUCUUCAAUCAUGCCUUUACUCUUUGGAUAUAAUCUUUAAUCAAGCUCAAAUUUCAUCUUUUCUUUCAUUUUGGUUUGGUUUUUUUCUCCUUGGGCAAUCAAGGUACGUAAAAUAGAGAUCCAUAAGUUGUGAUGUGCAAACUUAUUACAUUUACAAAUAUCCUUCUAAAGUACCAAAGAUAAACUAAACAAAAUAACUUCUGGAUCAACCAUGGAUGCACCUUUUCUUUAUAUUUUUAAACAAGAAUAUCAACAGGAUUUUAUAUGAAUUUUUUUAUGGAUAAAUGUAGAUAAAAUGGCUCAUAGGUGAUCACUGAUAGCAAAGGAAAUUGAAAAUCUGCAUCUACUGGCUUGUUUAUUUAUUUAUUUAAGCUGAUUAUUUAUUUUUAAACUGGAUUUCCCAUGAGAUCUCUGAUAUGUAUCACCUUUACAUGUGAACUUAAGACAUUUUAGAGGACUAGAUGAUUUGGCUGAGCUUUGGUUGAUACAAAGACAAAAUCAGAAAAAAAAACAAAUAAUAAAAUGGAUGGAUAUCCUAUCCAUCUUGGGGUCCAAAUUUGUCUAGCUGAUUAGGCAUCAAGCAGAGAUUUAUGUCAACCAAAUAUGAAUUGUAAUCCAAUAAUGAUUUGGCAAGGUUCUAUAUAUGUCAAUUUACUAUGUUUAAUAGGAUAAUUUCAUGUAGGCUGCUGCCGUUGAUUGGUUAUCACAUAGCCAACCUUCUCUCUUUGUUAAGAAUGGUUCUCUUUAGCACUAGAGACAUGCCUGACUUCCAUGUUGCACAAUUGUAAGCUUUUUUCUUAACCACUACCAUCCUAUAACCAGAGAAAAGCAAUACAGAAGAUAGAAGAAACCAGAUCUUUGUUCCCUACCUGAGGCCUCAGAGCCAUCACUGCCUUCCCAUUUCCAUCCAUGAGCAGGAGCUCUCCUUCAAAGCACUUGUGCUUCCUUGAAUAAUUGUCGACCCGAAAGGCUAAUCUUCCCUUGUUAUCAUAAAUUGAGAAUCCAUCUGUUCCAUGGAAAGCCAUGCUUGACUUCUUCCAAACUGUCCACACUGAUGGAUAGUUUGUCACUGUUGCAAGCUCUUCAUCAUCAAUCUUUCUCAGUGAAGGAUGAACCCGAGACAUUUUUCAGCAAUAGCGGGGUGGAGAGAAAGGCUGUAAAGGAACUUCUCUUAUGGGCUUAUUAUAUAUGUAGGCUUGGAAGUAUGGAGUGAGGAAGUAGUGAAGGGAUAUCACUACUUGAUGGACAAAAGAUGAGGUACCCUUUUAUGGUUAUAACACUUUUUAGAAUUAAUAUGAAUAUAUUUUUUAGCGUUACAUAGGAUUUGAACUCUGUAAUGCCAGAGCUAACAUGUCAUUAUCAUGCAGAGUAGGACAAUGCUGCAGGGAUUGAGAUUCUAGUAGUAUUUCUAAUAGGCCGCAAGGGGAAAGCAUGGUACUUUGGUAUAUUGUGAAUCCAACCACCCUCUGUUUUCAUGUUGUGGUGAACUGGAGGCUAUGUUCAUGUGAGCAGAAAAGGCAAAUGUUCAAUUAUCCUUUCCACAAAAUGGUACUUUGAUGGCAUAAUUCACAAAUCAAUACUGUAUAUAAUAUCUGGUAGUUCCAAAGGGAAUACCAGUUAAAUUUGCAAAAAAGGGCCUACAAGGUAAUUGACAGCUGCCGAGGUGGGACUAUGGGAAUUUGCAAAUGUCACAAACUUCGUUGGCUUCCAUGAAAGCAGAGGCAACUUACAGAUGACAGAUAAGACAAGCUUACAGAUCAUUAGGCUUUGUUUUCUCACAACACUUGCAUGACUGACAGAGAUGCCAUCUUAUUUGGUUGCCUCUAGAAAGUAUUUAUUAUGUAUGGCCUCCUUCCCUAGAGCUAUAAAAAGCAAAAUAUAAGUAGCUCUUGGUAAAGUUAUAUUUCUGAACAACUAAGAUUAUGCUGAUGGAGAACAGCUAAAAGAAGAGUUUGCUCAGAAUCAAGCCUCGUGACAUAUCUAUUUCAGAAUCAUGCUUUUAGAGUACCUCUUCUAAUGUGAUAUAAUUGUGGGAGAAGUGGUCAUUGCACCCAAUUGUAGUACAGCUUCAUUUAAUAUCAUUUUUAUCAUCCACAUGGUAUCUUUUUAAUUAAGGCCCUUAGAGAACAUUAUUUCUUGAAGUUUUUCCUCAUCCACCUGAGCUGCAUAUAUUUUAGGGGCAAUUAUAUUUGUAUGCUUUUAAAAGUGAAAAUUUCAUGUCUACUUCUGUAACUAUGCAAAUAUUCGUAUGUAUCUAUAUAAAUGGGGUAUUAUGUAUUUGUUGUUAGAUUCCUGCAUAUAUUAAACCCAUUAUAUCUGCUUAAUUAUGAUAUGUUUAGAUUUUUUUUAAUUUAAAUCUUGAAAUACCUAAAAUAACCUUGUUCCUGUGCUCUUUUACAUUUGUUUUUGGUCUUGCCCUAUCUUUUCCUUUCUUUUAUUGUCAUUAACCCAUUUUUAUCCAUCUCUGUCGUAGCUUUGCAGAAAGAAAUUUCCCGAGGAAGGAGACCAAAUAGAUACGAGAGAAGAGGAAGCAAAGGUAAGGUGGAAUGGAGAAAGAGGUAACAGGCGAUGACAUACAAGAGAAAUGAAGAUGGAACUUUACAUAUCUUCCAUAGACUUUCAUAGAGAACAAAUACAGAUUAUUUUUUUCUCAUUAAACAUGCCAAAUUACAAUUAGGAAACACAGGUGUGGUGGGAAGAUUCAAUGCCGGUUAGAAACAUUGUUUAUGUUAUUAAUGGUGAUCUAAUACUUAAAAGUGUACUAGGAUUUUUGCUGCCUGCAAUGUUAGAUCGACCUUUUUCUUUA
This is a long non-coding RNA of Musa acuminata AAA Group (dessert banana), 3597 nucleotides long. RefSeq lists it as uncharacterized. The record is from RefSeq and is a predicted model, not a curated record. The transcript is spliced from 4 exons. NCBI's taxonomy places the organism in Eukaryota, Viridiplantae, Streptophyta, Magnoliopsida, Zingiberales, Musaceae.